This 968-nucleotide long non-coding RNA is filed under the name Glycine max (soybean). Its description in RNAcentral is "long non-coding RNA (GMAX_LNC003017)". Lineage: Eukaryota; Viridiplantae; Streptophyta; Magnoliopsida; Fabales; Fabaceae. The record is from RNAcentral.
ACACUCCUUACGUUCCAAUUACUCCUCCAAAAGCACCUUAUCAUCCAAAUCCACCUUAUGUUCCAACCCCUCCAAACACUCCUUAUGUUCCAAUUACUCCUCCGAGAGCACCUUAUGUUCCAGCACCUCCUCAAACUCCAACUGUUCCAACUCCUCCAGAAACUCCUUAUCAUCCACCCUAUGUUCCAAUACCUCCUCCUAAAACACCUUCACCUAUUUCCAGUCCUCCCUAUGUUCAUCCAAAACCACCUUCACCUAUUCAUUAUCCACCUAAUGUUCCAACACCUCCAAAAACUCCUUCCCCUGUAUACACUCCUCCCAAUGUUCCCACUCAAGCACCUUCACCUGCUAAUCAUCCUCCAUAUAUUCCAACUCCUCCACAAACUCCUUCCCCAGUUUAUACUCCUCCUAAUUUUCCAACGCCUCCAAAAAUACCCUCUCCUGUGUACACUCCCCCAAAAGCUCCUUCCCCUAGUAACAAUCCACCCUAUGUUCCUACACCUCCAAAAACACCUUCUCCUUCUUAUAAUCCUCCUAAUGUUCCCACUCCUCCCAAAACACCUUCACCUAUUUACACUCCACCAAAUGUUCCUACUCCUCCAAAAACACCAUCUCCUGCUUAUAGUCCUCCAAAUGCUCCUUCCCCUCAUAACCAACCAAAUGUUCCUACUCCUCCAAAAACACCAUCUCCUGCUUAUAGUCCUCCAAAUGCUCCUUCCCCUCAUAACCAACCUCCCUAUGUUCCUACACCUCCAAAAACACCUUCUCCUUCUUAUAAUCCUCCUAAUGUUCCCACUCCUCCCAAAACACCUUCACCUAUUUACACUCCACCAAAUGUUCCUACUCCUCCAAAAACACCAUCUCCUGCUUAUAGUCCUCCAAAUGCUCCUUCCCCUCAUAACCAACCUCCCUAUGUUCCUACACCUCCAAAAACACCUUCUCCUUCUUAUAAUCCUCCUAAUGUUNNN